RNAcentral lists this ribosomal RNA (252 nucleotides) under uncultured bacterium. RNAcentral describes it as "partial 16S ribosomal RNA". It matches the Rfam family "Bacterial small subunit ribosomal RNA", at positions 524 to 776 of the family's 1533-position model. The record is from RNAcentral.
UACGUAGGUGGCAAGCGUUGUCCGGAAUUAUUGGGCGUAAAGCGCGCGCAGGUGGGAUGUUAAGUCUUUUGUAAAAGUGCGGGGCUCAACCCCGUAAAGCGAUGGAUACUGGCAUUCUUGAGUGCAGGAGAGGAAAGCGGAAUUCCCAGUGUAGCGGUGAAAUGCGUAGAUAUUGGGAGGAACACCAGUGGCGAAGGCGGCUUUCUGGACUGUGUCUGACACUGAGGCGCGAAAGCUAGGGGAGCGAACGGG